This 928-nucleotide long non-coding RNA is filed under the name Phascolarctos cinereus (koala). RNAcentral describes it as "lncRNA (ENSPCIG00000007097.2)". Lineage: Eukaryota; Metazoa; Chordata; Mammalia; Diprotodontia; Phascolarctidae. The record is from RNAcentral.
CUCCUGUGCCCAUCGCAACAGAAGCCACAUUUUUCCUCAGGAGCCCAUGCCCUUUCAGCUUAGGGGCUGGCGAGAGCCUGAGCCUACGGGAAGCCUGCUCGCAACACUGACAACUUCAUCUACAUUCAAGGAGAACAAACCAGUAAUUAUCUAGUCUUCUUGCUCAAGAUGAAUGCCUGGACAAUGCGCAGGAGGCUAUUGAAGAAAAUGUUUUACCCUUGUUUCAAAUCUUUUUGCAUUUUAUAAGCCUUUCCUGGACUGCAUCCUACUCAGAUCACAUAACCGACAAGAAAGAAGUCUGGGAUGAUGUGGGGCCCCUCAGCACUGAACUUCAGAAGAAGUUGUGGAGGAUUACUUAUGCUUGAAACUGUUUCUGAGCUCUUCGAGGGAAGAUGGAAUUUGAUACAACCCCGAUUCAUUUACUUUCUGUUCCACUGGAUUUUCAGAAUAGCGAUUUUCGUAUUUAUUUAUAAUGUUUAUCAUCGCCCUAAUGCUAAUUUAAUCUCUUUGAAAAAAAAUUCAUCAGGCUGGUAAUAAAUGAUAUGCUGGGAAAUAGGGAAUUGAUAAUACUUAGUGAUUUCAAACACUGACUGAAAUUUGAGUUUAGAUCUACACUUAGGAAUUAUUUAUAUCCUCUUAUGUCAUAUCAAUUUAAAUAAUAUCCCACUCACUGGGGCAUAAAGAAUAAUGUUAAUAUUAAAGUUUCUAUUUAAUAUUUGCUAAUUGCACAUGAAGGGGCUAUAUCAGCUGCAUUUGGAUUUUUUUAUUUAAUUUUAUUGUGUUAGAAAAUCCAUGAGGUUAAGUCUCCAGAAAUUAUUACUUUUAAAUGUUGCAUAAUAAGAAUUUUGCUCCCAUGAUGAGACUUGAAUAAUGUACACUCAAAUAAGCUUUUUCCCGACACAGAGUGAUGGUGGCUAGGGUCCUAGGC